Molecule: ribosomal RNA, 551 nt
Filed under: Iniistius verrens
Lineage: Eukaryota; Metazoa; Chordata; Actinopteri; Labriformes; Labridae
Description: partial 16S ribosomal RNA
Rfam family: Bacterial large subunit ribosomal RNA
Source: RNAcentral
GAUUACCCCUCGUACCUUUUGCAUCAUGAAUUAGUCAGUAACACUUAAGCAAAGUCUAUUUUAGUUUAAAACCCCGAAACUAAGUGAGCUACUCCAAGCCCGCCUAUAAAUUUAGGGCUAACCCGUCUCUGUAGCAAAAGAGUGGGGAGAGCUUCGAGUAGCGGUGACAGACCUAUCGAACUUAGUUAUAGCUGGUUGCCAGGAAAAUGGAUAUAAGUUCAGCCUUUAGGAUUCUCGAUUCAACCAGGCCCUUACUUCUCCGCCCGUUACAAAAGAAGCCUAAAGAGUUAGUCAAAGGGGGUACAGCCCUUUUGAACCAAGAAACAACUUUCUAAGAAGGAUAAAGAUCACAUUAAGCAAGGACAUACAUCGAGGUGGGCUUGAAAGCAGCCACCCCUAAGGAAAGCGUUAAAGCUCAGAUUCCCGCACACCCCUACAAUCCCGAUAAUUUCAUCUUACUCCCCUUUUUUUACCUGGCCGUUUCAUACGCCCUAUGAAAGUGACCCUGCUAGUAUGAGUAAUAAGAGGACAUGACCCUCUCCCCGCACAAG